CCUGUGUGACAAGCAAAUCACUAAAUUGCCACUGCUUCCACCAAUACCAAAUCACCAAAUUAUUUAGUGUUUCUAAAUCCAUUAUACUCCUUUAAUCACAUUCGUUAAUCAAAAACCUUCCACUAGUUACAUCAACAUCCAAGGGUUUAGAUCAGAAACAAAACUCAAAUUGUUGUUCUCACGUUGGAUUGACAUGGUUCUGAAAGUUGAAAGAACUUUAGGAUUUUAGAAGAGAAGAGUUGCAGAGAUUAGUGUGAGAGAAGAUGAAAAGAUCAAAGGGUUGUAAAAGGCUUUAGGGUUGUAAAUGGCGGUGAGAACGUACAUGCAUGGAUAGAUGAAAUGAUGAAGACUGCAAGCAUUAAAUGCUAAAUACACUUUCCCAUACUCUUUUCAAAUUUGAAACACCCAGGUAUUAUGAUAUUCUCAAUUGAUAUUUGAAAAAAGGAUAUAUAUAUUUUGUUAAAUGAAGAUAUAAAAUUGAUGAUGAAAAAAUAACAUAAGAAAGGCAUUGUUGGAUAGCCUAGAUGGUUGUCACGUCAGCUUUGUGAUGUCAAUGUUUACUCUCCUUUAUUAGAUAAGGGAGAUGUUUGCGAUGCGGGCUUAAAUGUUGAUAAUGGGCCUGGGCCAGCCUCUGUUGAUCAAUCCAAGAGAUAAUGUAAUAAUCAUGAAUUCCUGAUGAUUUCCAUUUGAUAUUUGAAAUCUCCUCUAGUAAAUUAAAAGUUUGUCAAA
This is a long non-coding RNA of Helianthus annuus (common sunflower), 729 nucleotides long. RefSeq lists it as uncharacterized. The transcript is spliced from 2 exons. The record is from RefSeq and is a predicted model, not a curated record. Lineage: Eukaryota; Viridiplantae; Streptophyta; Magnoliopsida; Asterales; Asteraceae.